Molecule: ribosomal RNA, 427 nt
Filed under: Comamonas testosteroni
Lineage: Bacteria; Pseudomonadati; Pseudomonadota; Betaproteobacteria; Burkholderiales; Comamonadaceae
Description: bacterial SSU rRNA
Rfam family: Bacterial small subunit ribosomal RNA
Source: RNAcentral
GCACAAGCGGUGGAUGAUGUGGUUUAAUUCGAUGCAACGCGAAAAACCUUACCCACCUUUGACAUGGCAGGAACUUACCAGAGAUGGUUUGGUGCUCGAAAGAGAACCUGCACACAGGUGCUGCAUGGCUGUCGUCAGCUCGUGUCGUGAGAUGUUGGGUUAAGUCCCGCAACGAGCGCAACCCUUGCCAUUAGUUGCUACAUUCAGUUGAGCACUCUAAUGGGACUGCCGGUGACAAACCGGAGGAAGGUGGGGAUGACGUCAAGUCCUCAUGGCCCUUAUAGGUGGGGCUACACACGUCAUACAAUGGCUGGUACAAAGGGUUGCCAACCCGCGAGGGGGAGCUAAUCCCAUAAAGCCAGUCGUAGUCCGGAUCGCAGUCUGCAACUCGACUGCGUGAAGUCGGAAUCGCUAGUAAUCGUGGAUC